Molecule: microRNA, 20 nt
Filed under: Corchorus olitorius
Lineage: Eukaryota; Viridiplantae; Streptophyta; Magnoliopsida; Malvales; Malvaceae
Description: egr-miR
Source: RNAcentral
UGGGAUUUUGUGAAGUAUGU